CCUACGGGUGGCAGCAGUGAGGAAUAUUGGUCAAUGGACGCAAGUCUGAACCAGCCAUGCCGCGUGCAGGAAGACGGCUCUAUGAGUUGUAAACUGCUUUUGUACGAGGGUAAACUCAGAUACGCGUAUCUGUCUGAAAGUAUCGUACGAAUAAGGAUCGGCUAACUCCGUGCCAGCAGCCGCGGUAAUACGGAGGAUUCAAGCGUUAUCCGGAUUUAUUGGGUUUAAAGGGUGCGUAGGCGGUUGGAUAAGUUAGAGGUGAAAGUCCGAGGCUCAACUGCGGAAUUGCCGUUGAUACUGGUAGGCUAGAGAGUAGUAGCGGUAGGCGGAAUGUAUGGUGUAGCGGUGAAAUGCUUAGAGAUCACACAGAACACCGAUUGCGAAGGCAGCUUACCAAGCUACAUCUGACGUUGAGGCACGAAAGUGUGGGGAGCAAACAGGAUUAGAUACCCGGGUAGUC
RNAcentral lists this ribosomal RNA (460 nucleotides) under uncultured bacterium. Its description in RNAcentral is "partial 16S ribosomal RNA". It matches the Rfam family "Bacterial small subunit ribosomal RNA", at positions 338 to 795 of the family's 1533-position model. The record is from RNAcentral.